AGCGACAAAGCUCUGAACUAGAGCUGUGGGGCUGGAGGAAAAGAGAAGGGAUUGAGCAACAUAGAAAGUGACUGAGGAGAGAGAAGGAAGUGUCAAGAAUGAGCAGCGCUUUGAAUGACGCAUUAAGUAUUGGGGAUUGAGCUCAGGACCUCACACAUGUUAGCAGGGUCACCAAUGGAGGAAGGAGCUGCUCCCACGAUAUCAUUUUCCACCUUGAGAAUCUUGGCUGCAGCAGUGGCUGGUUGUCAUCAUGGAGACACAGAUGAAGAGAGAUUCCACAGCCAACUUCAUCCAGAAAACACUGGGAAGAUUAUGUUGUGUAUUUAAAAAAAUAAAAUAAAAUAAAAAAGCCUGGAAAGAUGCUCUACUCUUGGUGCCCAGAAGCCUGGCAUACAGGUUUUAUCAAAAUGGUGGAGAAACAUAAGCUCCUGACACACAAUGCUUUCCAGGAAAAUGCUUCGUUUUUUGGAAAAUCCAAUCAGAUAAAUCAAAUUCAUCACAUAUAAAAUGGGCAUAAUGAGUGUGUACAACUCAUAAGGGUAUGUUGUAUUGUUAAUUCAGAAAUGAUAGAAAAAAUGACCAUAGCACGGACUUGGGCACAUAGUCAGUGCUCAAUAUGAUACAACCGUUGUAUUGCUCAGAGUUGUCCAGAGAUGUAGAAUUAAUAAGAGGUAAGAGAAUUCUUACCUCUGGUAAGGUCUAGUUGUACACACUCAACCCAGUCAACCUGCUGGACUAACCUGCCCAAUCAAUUGGUAAUUAUUACUAAUCAGUUGUUUGAACUGACAACACGUGUGACCAGUGUGCCAUUGAAGUCAGAUAAGCACUAAGGAAGGCAAUAAGGCAAUAAGGAAGGAUUUAUCCUGCAAAGUCUUAUUUCUUAAAUGUAUCUCAAAGUAUGGAGAAUAACUAUGUCUUUAAAUUGCUUUUCUGGUGUAGUUUUAUUAGUGAAAG
Long non-coding RNA from Ictidomys tridecemlineatus (thirteen-lined ground squirrel), 954 nucleotides. RefSeq lists it as uncharacterized. NCBI's taxonomy places the organism in Eukaryota, Metazoa, Chordata, Mammalia, Rodentia, Sciuridae. The record is from RefSeq and is a predicted model, not a curated record.